RNAcentral lists this ribosomal RNA (238 nucleotides) under uncultured bacterium. RNAcentral's name for it is "partial 16S ribosomal RNA". It matches the Rfam family "Bacterial small subunit ribosomal RNA", at positions 96 to 334 of the family's 1533-position model. The record is from RNAcentral.
CGGCGGACGGGUGAGUAACGCGUGGGUAACCUGCCUCAUACAGGGGGAUAACAGUUGGAAACGGCUGCUAAUACCGCAUAAGCGCACAGUACCGCAUGGUACGGUGUGAAAAACUCCGGUGGUAUGAGAUGGACCCGCGUCUGAUUAGGUAGUUGGUGGGGUAACGGCCUACCAAGCCGACGAUCAGUAGCCGACCUGAGAGGGUGACCGGCCACAUUGGGACCGAGACACGGCCCAA